Small nucleolar RNA from Cynocephalus volans (Philippine flying lemur), 127 nucleotides. NCBI's taxonomy places the organism in Eukaryota, Metazoa, Chordata, Mammalia, Dermoptera, Cynocephalidae. The record is from RefSeq and is a predicted model, not a curated record.
AUGCACUGUUCGUAACCGGUUAACCUGGCUGUGGUUAAGGGGUUCCAUUCCAGUGCUACAGCAUUUCCAAUGGCACAUGACUGACUGACCAACUAGUGGCUUUCAGUUUCAGUUCUUGGAAACAAAU